RNAcentral lists this long non-coding RNA (3790 nucleotides) under Homo sapiens (human). RNAcentral describes it as "TSHZ2 antisense RNA 1 (TSHZ2-AS1)". Lineage: Eukaryota; Metazoa; Chordata; Mammalia; Primates; Hominidae. The record is from RNAcentral.
ACCUAAGCAAGCCUGGGCAAUGGCGGGCGCCCCUCCGCCAGCCUCACUGCCGCCUUGCAGUUUGAUCUCAGACUGCUGUGCUAGCAAUCAGCGAGACUCCGUGGGCGUAGGACCCUCCGAGCCAGGUGCCGGAUAUAAUCUCGUGGUGCGCCGUUUUUUAAGCCCGUCCGAAAAGCGCAAUAUUCGGGUGGGAGUGACCCGAUUUUCCAGAAGAUUUUAUCUGAAAAACAUAUUCAACUGUGACAGGAGGGGGAGGAGCCAAGAUGGCCGAAUAGGAACAGCUCCGGUCUACAGCUCCCAGCCUGAGCGACGCAGAAGACGGGUGAUUUCUGCAUUUCCAUCUGAGUGAACAUAGAUUCCUUCAGUAAAUAUUGGGAAAACAUUUGCUUCAGGCCCAUUACUGGGUACCGCUUUGAUACAGAGGACACACCAAGGAACAAGACAGAUAGGACCUCUGCCUCUGGUAAGUUUGCAUUCCAGAGGGAGGAGAAGACAAUAAGCAAGCAAGCCAUCAAGACCACGUCAGAUGAGACGAAUAAAGUCAGACAGCUUCCAAGGAGUGGAUGCUUAUGGAGAGAUCACAUGGAGCCUUGUAGCUGAUUUAUAAUCUCAUGGUCCUCAUUCAUACAUCAAACCCCUGAAGGCCUGGCAUUUUUAUCUCCCGACUCAACCUGCAUGCUACCAGAAGCUCGACAAAAUUACGCCUGUUUAGGAAAAGACUGGAGGAAUUCGUGGAGGAAUUCUUGGAGGGGGAACACUGAAGUCCGAAAUACUAUGUGAAAAGAAAGCACAUGUUCUCCUUUUCUGGCUCGGAAGAAUUUUGGAGUGGAUUUAGGCAGACCAGUCUGAACAAACACGCUCGAGGAGCUGAGGCCCGUCAGCACACGCUCAGCAGCUGUGCAUCCAGAUCCGCGUGCUCUCGGCUUGGCCAAAGCAUUGCAAACAACUGAAGUCCUUGCUGCCAGGCAGAUGGUCACAGGACUGUCAGCAGACCCUGAGAGACCUCAACAAUGCCCACAAACUCUAAACAAAUCUACGCAGAGUCUAAUGGUGUCUGCUUGCUUUGCGGCUCUCCAGACUUCCUAAGUUCUGUUUGGUUCUGUGUGUUUGUUGUAGCUGGGAGAGCAGAACUGACCCUGAUAACCACUACACGUAGAAAACAAGUCUAAUAUCCCCCUAACGGACAACUCAAGUGUCUUUCUUGACUACAUGUGGCCUUCAUGAAAACGAUCUUCCUUAUGAUUCUUCCAAAACCUAUUUCCAGGACCACAUAGUUUAGUACUUAGUAUUAUUUUGUCUUGCAGUACUGGUAGACUACUUCUUAUGAGUUACUCUUGUCUCCCUUAUUGUAUUGUCAGCACCUUAAAAGCAAAAACAGUGGCUUGGGCUUGGGUUCAAGGUCUAGAUCCACCUCUUCCAAGCUGGGUGACCUUAAAUUUGAAUGAUGAUAAUACCUGGAGGGUCAUUGUGAUGAUUACAUGAGAUAAUGUAUGUGAAACACUUAGAAUUCAUGGGAAAUACUCAACAGGUUAUUCUUGUGGUGGUGGUAGUAGCAGUAAUGAUGAUUAUGAUUACAUUAUUAAUACAUUCCAGCUGGGUGUGGUGGCUCGUGCCUGUAAUCCCAGCACUUUGGGAGGCCGAGUAGGCAAAUCACCUGAGGUCAGGAGUUCAAGAUCAGCCCAGCCAACAUGGUGAAAACUCAUCUCUACCAACAAUCCAAAAAAAUUAGCUGAGCAUGGUGGCAUGUGCCUGUAGUCCCAGCUACUUGGGAGGCUGAGGCAGGAGAAUUGCUUGAACUCGGGAGGUGGAGGUUGCCGUGAGCCAAGAUUGCACCACUGCACUCCAGCCUGGGCAACAGAGUGAGAUCCCAUCUCAAAAAAAUGCAUUUCAUAAAGCCCAUUUUAUUUAGGAAAUUUUUGGCCAAUACUGUAUCUAGUCAACAUUUGAUGAUCAAUUAACAAUUGAGAAAGAUAAACAGAUUUCCAGUCAAUUGCUGGUUACAGGAUGAGAAAAGACUGGGGAGAAAAGGUAAAAAGGACUGACAGAACAUUCUUGCUACUGGAUUAGUCCCUGGGACAGAUACCAUUAGUUACCUACGGAAUAUCCAUUUCACUCUUCUUCCUUGCCAAUAAAAUUCUGUGUGUGUGUGUGUGUGUGUGUGUGUGUGUGUGUGUGUCUGUGUGUCUGUGUGUCUGUGUUGGUUUGUUCUGCUUCUUUUUAUAGACAGAGUCUUGCUUUAUUGCCCAAGCUGGAGUGCAGUGGCAUGAACAUAGCUCACUGCAGCCUUAAACUCCUAGGCUCAAGCGAUCCUCCACCAGCCUCAGCCUUCUGAGUUGCUGGGACUACAGGUGCAUGCUACGACACCCAUUUAAUGUAUGUUUUAAACUUUUUGUAGAGACAGGGUCUCUCUUUGUCCCCAAGUUUGGAAUGCAGUGGCAUGAUCAUAGCUCACUGCAGUCUAGAACCCCCAUGCUCAAGUGAUCCUCCUUCCUUAGUGCCUCAAAAUGCUGGGACUAUAGGUGUAAGCCACAGUGCCCGGACAAAAUCCUAGUUUUGUUUUCUGUGACAGUGUGCCCAGUUAAAUAUGUCACAGCAUCUUGCAGCUAAGGAUGACAAAAUUACACAGUUUGGCUGAGGAGGUUCAUGUAGAAUUCUGCUGGGUUUCCAAGAAAGAUUUGCUCCUCUGAGAAGAGGGGCAAAGGUAGCUAGUACUGUUAUUUCACUCCUUUUCCUACCUUGAAUGUGGACAUGAUGCAGCCAUCUUGCAGUUGUAAGGCAAUGAUCAAAAGACUCACAGAGACAUCUUCUAAUCCAGAUGUCAAUUAGUGAUUAACAUCACUAAUCCAUUGACUCAAUGCCAUUGUUGCCUACUUCUGGAUGUUGGGAUGGUGAGAAAAGAAAAUCUUGAUUUAUUCAAAUCACUAUAAGUAAAGCUGCCUUUUAUUUGCAGCCUAAAGCAUUCCUAACUUAGAAUUUUCUUAAGUAACAAAACUUCAGAAGCCCAACUGAAAAAAACAAAAUUCUCAUUGUGGUUUUAAUUUGCUUUUCCCUGAUGAUUAGCAAUGUUGAGCAUUUUGUCACCUUACCCCAGCCAGAAUGACUAUUAUUAAGAAGUCAAAAAACAAUAGAUGUUGGCAUGGAUGUAGUGAAAAGGGAAUGCUUAUAUGCUGCUGAUGGAAAUGUAAAUUAGUACAAUCACUAUGGAAAAUAGUAUGGAGGUUUCUCAAAGAACUAAUAAUAGAACUACUAUUCAAUCCAAGAAUCCCACUACUAGGUAUCUACUCAUAGGAAAAUAAAUUGUUAUAUCAAAAGGCACCUGCACAUGUAUGUUUAUCACAGCAUAAUUCACAAUUGCAAAGAUAUGGAACCAACCUAAGUGCCCAUCAACUGAUGAGUGGAUAAAGAAAAUGUGGUAUUUACACAGCAUGGAAUACUACUUAGCCAUACAAAGAAUGAAAUAAUGUCUUUUGCAGCAACUUAGACAGAACUGGAGGCCAUUAUUCUAAGUAAAGUAACUCAGGAAUGGAAAAACCAAAUGCCAUAUGUUCUCACUUAUAAGUGAGAGCUAAGUUAUGGGUGAGUGAAGGCAUGCAGAAUGGUGUAAUGAACACUGGAGACUCAGAAGUGGGGAGGGUUGGAAGGGAGUGAGGAAAAAACUACAUUUUGGGUACACUACUCGGGUGACCAAUGCACUAAAAUUUCAGACUUGACUACUAUAUAAUUCAUCCAUGUAACCAAAAUCUGUGUAUACCCCUAAAGCUAUUUAAAUAAAAAACCCACAAAUUCUCCA